UACGGAGGGUGCAAGCGUUGUUCGGAAUCAUUGGGCGUAAAGCGCGAGUAGGCGGCUUGGCAAGUCGGUUGUGAAAUCCCGGGGCCCAACCCCGGAACUGCAUUCGAAACUGCCUCGCUAGAGUCCCGGAGAGGAAGGCGGAAUUCCCGGUGUAGAGGUGAAAUUCGUAGAUAUCGGGAGGAACACCAGCGGCGAAGGCGGCCUUCUGGACGGUGACUGACGCUGAGACGCGAAAGCGUGGGGAGCAAACAGG
This 253-nucleotide ribosomal RNA is filed under the name uncultured bacterium. RNAcentral describes it as "partial 16S ribosomal RNA". It matches the Rfam family "Bacterial small subunit ribosomal RNA", at positions 524 to 776 of the family's 1533-position model. The record is from RNAcentral.